This is a small nucleolar RNA of Protopterus annectens (West African lungfish), 142 nucleotides long. NCBI's taxonomy places the organism in Eukaryota, Metazoa, Chordata, Ceratodontiformes, Protopteridae. The record is from RefSeq and is a predicted model, not a curated record.
UUUCAGUGAUGAUACGAUGACUAGUCUGAAAGGUAUCGUACCAUUUUAGGUUCUUGAUUCAGGAUCAUGCUCUUUGAGACAGUUUCCAGACACCUGAGGAGGAUUUCCUUUUAAGUGAUGUUUAGGCAUUUGUCUGAGAAGG